RNAcentral lists this ribosomal RNA (298 nucleotides) under Thamnaconus modestus (black scraper). RNAcentral describes it as "partial 12S ribosomal RNA". It matches the Rfam family "Bacterial small subunit ribosomal RNA", at positions 862 to 1328 of the family's 1533-position model. Lineage: Eukaryota; Metazoa; Chordata; Actinopteri; Tetraodontiformes; Monacanthidae. The record is from RNAcentral.
UUUCUAUCCGCCUGGGGACUACGAGCAUAAGCUUAAAACCCAAAGGACUUGGCKGUGCUUUAGAUCCACCUAGAGGAGCCUGUUCUAGAACCGAUAACCCCCGUUAAACCUCACCUUUUCUUGUUCUACCCGCCUAUAUACCACCGUCGUCAGCUUAUCCUGUGAAGGACUAUUAAUAAACAGAAUUGGCACAGCCCAAAACGUCAGGUCGAGGUGUAGCGUACGAAAAGGGAAGAAAUGGGCUACAUUCUCUAUCUAGAGAACACGAAUGAUAAACUGAAAAACGUAUCUGAAGGAG